Molecule: ribosomal RNA, 344 nt
Filed under: Clostridioides difficile
Lineage: Bacteria; Bacillati; Bacillota; Clostridia; Peptostreptococcales; Peptostreptococcaceae
Description: bacterial SSU rRNA
Rfam family: Bacterial small subunit ribosomal RNA
Source: RNAcentral
GUGAGCCAGUACAGGAUGGACCCGCGUCUGAUUAGCUAGUUGGUAAGGUAACGGCUUACCAAGGCGACGAUCAGUAGCCGACCUGAGAGGGUGAUCGGCCACAUUGGAACUGAGACACGGUCCAAACUCCUACGGGAGGCAGCAGUGGGGAAUAUUGCACAAUGGGCGAAAGCCUGAUGCAGCAACGCCGCGUGAGUGAUGAAGGCCUUCGGGUCGGAAAACUCUGUCCUCAAGGAAGAUAAUGACGGUACUUGAGGAGGAAGCCCCGGCUAACUACGUGCCAGCAGCCGCGGGAAUACGUAGGGGGCUAGCGUUAUCCGGAUUUACUGGGCGUAAAGGGUGCG